Molecule: ribosomal RNA, 120 nt
Filed under: Pteropus alecto (black flying fox)
Lineage: Eukaryota; Metazoa; Chordata; Mammalia; Chiroptera; Pteropodidae
Source: RNAcentral
GUUUACGGCCAUGCCACCCCUGAACGUGCCCGAUCUCAUCUGAUCUCAGAAACUAAGCAAGGUCGGGCCUGGUUAGUACUUGGAUGGGAGACCACCUUGAAAUACCAGGUGCUAUCGGCA